GCAUAAAGAAGCGAACAUUUCCCGGGACCAGAGUGUGCUGGUUGCCGUGGCAGCUAAUCUCUGUCCAUCACUGUGGAAACACACAAUGGGACCCAGGACAGCUGGAGCUGUGUGUGUGUUCGGGGGGAGAGCUUGUCUCUAUUUGUAAAGGAUAAUAUCCGAGGGUCUCCUGGUGUCUGCUGGAAAAGAGUCGUGCGGAGCGCAAUCUGUGUGUCGGAGUUGUUGAGAUUCACAGAGAGAAGCUCUUCUGAAAGCUAAUAAGAUGUCUACAGACACACAGCAUUUACGGCGUCAUAUUUGCAUCAGAUGCGAAGGCUGUUCCAGAAGCAGGGCAGAUCACUGGGAUUUGAAACGGAGCCAGAGAGAGAGAGAGAGAGAGCAGGAGGUGAUGCGAGGUAGUGACACAGGAGAAAAAUUACUCUGACCAUCUCUCCGAGGAGACACAAGGAAUUCUCUCCUCUGCCAGAUUCCCAGAAAAACUGACACACACACACAGAGAGAGAGAGAGA
This is a long non-coding RNA of Ctenopharyngodon idella (grass carp), 509 nucleotides long. RefSeq lists it as uncharacterized. NCBI's taxonomy places the organism in Eukaryota, Metazoa, Chordata, Actinopteri, Cypriniformes, Xenocyprididae. The transcript has 4 exons. The record is from RefSeq and is a predicted model, not a curated record.